CACAACCAAUGGCCUCCACAUAUGAUGUGCAGAUCUUUUGAUUAAAAUGCAAUGGAAGAGAUUAGUCUGAAAUAAAACCUGGGAUCCUUUGAAACUGCUUUUGAUCUACACUAUGAAAGAACGGGAACUUGAAGCUGGAUCCUUGGCCCAGCCGGCUGGGAAAGCAGGCCAGUGGGGGAGCGGCGAGAGCUAAAAUCGGGAACACAGGAGCAGGCGGUGGUUCAGUGCAGCGCAGGACACCCAGCGAGGCUUCAGGGAGAACAACCCUUGACACAACCCCUCUGCACGAUGUCAUUGCACGGACAAGACUG
RNAcentral lists this long non-coding RNA (311 nucleotides) under Salmo salar (Atlantic salmon). RNAcentral describes it as "lncRNA (ENSSSAG00000118735.1)". Lineage: Eukaryota; Metazoa; Chordata; Actinopteri; Salmoniformes; Salmonidae. The record is from RNAcentral.